UCUCAGAACCGCCGAGCGCCGGAUGACUCCACCUACACGGGCCUGCAGAAACGAUCAGAACCGACGUAUAAAGAGCUUCCUGUGAGGAGAGAGCGUCAGCGGAAGAACGAGCAGGUUUACCAG
Molecule: long non-coding RNA, 123 nt
Organism: Poeciliopsis prolifica (blackstripe livebearer)
Lineage: Eukaryota; Metazoa; Chordata; Actinopteri; Cyprinodontiformes; Poeciliidae
Exons: 3
Source: RefSeq, a predicted model, not a curated record